GCAUAUUUCUGCAGAGGACAAGAUCCAGAUUAUAAAAGUAUCAUGGACAAUAAAUAAUUACACUUGCUCAAAAAAACCAAGAAAAUUAAAUUUGAAAGGCAAAAAAUUUCAUAAAUUGUUUUUACCACUUAGAGUAGGGCUUCUUGGUUCUAGGCUUUUAAAAUACAGAUAAUUUCUGCUAAACAACUGUUUCAGAGCUAGAAAAAGAUAGAAAGCUACACCUAAAUCAUUCUACAAUUUGGACACAAACUGGACAAAGACUGCACCAAGGAUUCAAGAAAUACUUGAAUGCUAAAAUCUUAAAGAUAGUAAUAGUAAACCAAAUAAAGCAAUAGGUUAAAUAA
Molecule: long non-coding RNA, 344 nt
Organism: Phyllostomus discolor (pale spear-nosed bat)
Lineage: Eukaryota; Metazoa; Chordata; Mammalia; Chiroptera; Phyllostomidae
Exons: 3
Source: RefSeq, a predicted model, not a curated record